AUGGUUAGGUGGUCAGAAAUCUGCAAGCCUCGCGACCAGGGCGGACUCGAGAUCAUGUCUUCCAAACGCAUGAACAUUGCCCUCCUGACUCGGUGGCUUUGGCGAAUUGCCAACGGAGAUGGUGGCAUGUGGCUUCGCAUCAUUCAGCAGAAAUACCUCCGAGGCCAGCCUCUCGCUUUCUGCCAGCGGUCUGGGGGAUUCCAGUUCUGGCAAUCCGUCAUCCAGCUCCUCCCAGUCCUCCAGAUUCGGACCUCGAUAGAGGUCGGAUUAGGCACCGCCAGCUUGUUCUGGUUCGACAGAUGGUCUGGUGACUUGCCCCUUGCGGCCCGCUUUCCCGACCUAUUCUCCAUUGUGGUGGCCCCUUAG
This 366-nucleotide ribosomal RNA is filed under the name Triticum aestivum (bread wheat). RNAcentral describes it as "partial small subunit ribosomal RNA". The record is from RNAcentral. Lineage: Eukaryota; Viridiplantae; Streptophyta; Magnoliopsida; Poales; Poaceae.